GAUCUGGCUCAGGAUGAACGCUGGCGGCGUGCUUAACACAUGCAAGUCGAACGAAGCACUUUAUUUGAUUUCCUUCGGGACUGAUUAUUUUGUGACUGAGUGGCGGACGGGUGAGUAACGCGUGGGUAACCUGCCUUGUACAGGGGGAUAACAGUUGGAAACGGCUGCUAAUACCGCAUAAGCGCACAGCAUCGCAUGAUGCAGUGUGAAAAACUCCGGUGGUAUAAGAUGGACCCGCG
This 239-nucleotide ribosomal RNA is filed under the name uncultured bacterium. Its description in RNAcentral is "partial 16S ribosomal RNA". It matches the Rfam family "Bacterial small subunit ribosomal RNA", at positions 15 to 235 of the family's 1533-position model. The record is from RNAcentral.